Long non-coding RNA from Homo sapiens (human), 1632 nucleotides. Ensembl annotates it as long intergenic non-protein coding RNA 1206. The record is from Ensembl. Lineage: Eukaryota; Metazoa; Chordata; Mammalia; Primates; Hominidae.
AGUUGUAACCGAUAGACUGGGCUGGGGCAACGCUGAUGAAAGGCAAAUUCCUGAGAGAAAAAUCACCCAGAUUUUUCAGUGCCUUCUCUAGCUUUCUAGAAGUUGUUAUGAGUGGACCUGACUACCUAGAGAGAGUAAUACAGAAGCUCCGUGCCGAUCACAGCUACCUCAUUACCAUGUUCCUCCAAGAUGGCCGCCCCUGAGGAGAAUCAUCAACUGGGCUUUACGGAAGAGAGAAAUCCAAACGACCAUCAGCAACAAAUGAAAGACUGAAGUUGAAAGUUUCAAGAUUGUCAAGAAUGACGAGUUGGACUUGGUCUAGUUACUUCCACAGCAGCAGGAGGAACAUGUGUGUGACUCAGGAUAACUGGGGAAGCCUUGGCUAGGCUUUCCUCAUGUCAACCUACCACUCAAAGGGAGAAAACCUCCUGAUCAGAGGUGCCCAGAACCCAGGAAAUCCAUAAUUUUUGAAUGCUGGCCGAGGUCUGUGACCUCUGACUGAAUGGUUUCCAAGCUCCGAAUUCCUAGGUGAUGUUUUCAUUUGUUCACACUUGCUGAAGAAGGGAAAGGCUCUCUGAUUUACGUGUAAGCAAAACAAUCUAAACAGUAGGAUAAAAUCAUGUUGGAAUGGAGUUCUGUGUGGAUGCUCCUUUGAACCAAAUCAGUUCCACAACUGACCCUGUCAGGGACAUAUAAAUUUAGCAUUUUGGUGUGGAUACAGAAGACGAGAUUAACACAGAUCAAGUAACAUGGAAAUAAAAAAGGAGACAAUGCUGGAUGAUACAGGGGCAGCCAACAAGAGGAGAAAACCCAAGCAUUGGCAAAUGCCUCAUUAUCCAAAGAACACUGAGGUGUGGAGCAAAACUGUGUUGAAUGAACUGUAGAUGGAAAUUCUCUCCUUCCCACCGAGGAGCCGCUGCAGGUUGCAGACUCCCAGAAUGCCACACUGAGAAGAGGAGGGCUAAAAUUCUAGAGCAGAAUCCCUGGGGCAGCCCCUGCUGAAGAAGGGUGCAUCUGUUGAGAAUCUCAUCACCGCCCCCACCCCGCCCAGCCUUCAAUUUAGAGGAAUUUCUAGUUCACGCAGAAUGAAGACAAGAUCACAUAAGUGAGGACGACGCCCCAUUUACAAGGGCCUCAGAGUAUGUCAGCUGGGGUCAGACGGGAACAGGAGUCUGGCUCAACACACAUUUAUUGCACUCCUGUUUCAUGCCAAGAAAUGUACCAAAAUCUGGGACUGUGUAACACAGCAAAGGAAAAGACUCAUCUCCAGGAAGCCCCCUUGUCUAGGAAGAGAAAUUGAAUAUCAGCAUAAGGUGGUGAAAAGCUGUGAAGGAGAUGAGUGCCAGGAGUCCAUGGAGGAAGGAUUCUAGCCUGGACAGAGUCUCCAUGAAUUGCAAGGGAAAACAAGUGGUACACUGGUAUUUCUAUUUGAUAACCUGUUCUCUUUGGAAUUCCGGUUAGAAAUCAAAGGCUUACUUGAGUUUUAAUGCUUUCGGGACUUCAAAUGCUUUUCUAUCUUCCUAAUAAUAUAUUAACAUUUUCUGAAGACAACAUAUAUGUGGAAAACAACAUUAUUUACUCAAAUAAUUUUUUUUGAAAAAUGGACCAAAAAAAAAGAAAAACCAACAAAAA